This is a long non-coding RNA of Magnolia sinica, 425 nucleotides long. RefSeq lists it as uncharacterized. The transcript has 2 exons. The record is from RefSeq and is a predicted model, not a curated record. NCBI's taxonomy places the organism in Eukaryota, Viridiplantae, Streptophyta, Magnoliopsida, Magnoliales, Magnoliaceae.
UUUUUUAUGGCAUCUAUUGUUUCAUCCAUAGGGUGGAAAUGAGGGCAUACUUUUCAAACGGAAGGAGAUGGGGCAUUGGUUCUGUCCAUAGACUUACUUUUCAGUGGGAUGAAGACCGGGCAACUAGAUUGAGGGCAUGCUCACUACGCGCAACUGGAUUCGGGCUAUGAUUCUGGCACCAUCUCUACAGUCUGAUCUAAGAUGAAGGAAGCUUGUCUUCUUGGAUGUGUGGUUGAUUUAAACAGGACAUCGGUUUCUUUGUUUUGGUUUUAAUUAUUAAGUGGUUGCAUCAGUCUCACUGCAAAGAUAUUGGCAUGUCCAUCCAAUUCUACAAUCUGUAGCCAAAUAUUUUAUUGAAAAUUUUUAAUGAAAAUAAAAAUGUAAUUGAAUAUUUUUAUUAGUAAGAUGUAGAUAUUGACGUUGAA